AUGGGGGCACCAAGAAGCCUGCGGCGUGGCUCAAGCGGUGUCACUUCCAGUGGCUAUAGCAACCAAAAACCAAAAGCCCUCUAUAUUCUGAUGGCAAAGCUGAUGUAUGUAUCCCACGGGGCAUCACAUAAAUUACCAUUCAAGGUAGGUUCCAGUCUGCAGAUCGCGAGGGACGGUAUGGCUGGAAUACGCUUGGUAACAGGGAGCAUUACCACUGCUGCGUACAAGACCUCUAAGGAAGACCAUCUCGUCAAUAAGCUACGAGAACAAGGGCCAUUAGUUUUUGCAAGUGGAGAUGCAACCAUUGGAAACCAGAACGAUGAUGCUACUUCGGCAAAUGAGACUGGGAACAGGCUCGCUGGAUGUUGGCGCCAAAGAAGCCAAAAGAGAUGGGUCGCCCAACAACUAGCCAAGAGAAGGCGCCGUACGAGGGGCUCAGCAAACGGACAAGCUUCUGCACGAUAUGUUGCCAGCAGGGGCACAAGAGGACAACCUGAUAUCCCCAAGCCAGUUUGUAAACCAGUGCGGCACAAAAACUGCGGCGUUGAAGGUCACAAACGAAACAACUGCCGCAAAAUGGGCAAUUGUGCUAAAUGCUGGACAAGUGCAUGCCUGUGUGAGGCCGUGCGCCCAGUGCUUGGCCGAUCCAUUUCUAAUUGCACUACAAGAGCAGGGAAAACAGAGGAGCAAUUACAUAAGCGUUCCUCCACCAUGCGUGCCCCAUCUGACCGAUCCAUCCCUUUUCGUUUAGGUAGAAAAGACUGA
RNAcentral lists this ribosomal RNA (765 nucleotides) under Triticum aestivum (bread wheat). RNAcentral describes it as "partial small subunit ribosomal RNA". The record is from RNAcentral. Lineage: Eukaryota; Viridiplantae; Streptophyta; Magnoliopsida; Poales; Poaceae.